Molecule: long non-coding RNA, 953 nt
Organism: Rhinolophus ferrumequinum (greater horseshoe bat)
Lineage: Eukaryota; Metazoa; Chordata; Mammalia; Chiroptera; Rhinolophidae
Exons: 3
Source: RefSeq, a predicted model, not a curated record
GUCGACAUUGAAGCUAAGAAAGGCUAUCGUGAGUCGAUCCACUGUCAACAGUCGUGACAUCUGGAAAUGAGGAUGCGCUCAUCCCUGCGGCCACUCCCUGGAGGCGUCACUAGUAAGACUCACGACCUCUCAGAGGUGUUGGUGAAAUCCUGGAACUGGAUCUCCUGCUCCCCACCCUGUAGGACCUUCUGCACAUCCGAAACCUGCUCCUUCCUCAGACGCAGCCUCAGUAGGGUCUUGUUAUAGCUCUAGAAGAGGAAAGUAAACAGGCACCAGUUCCUGCAUCAUCCCUUGCUCCCACCCCCACUGACAAGAUGCCAGCCUUCCAGGGAUAAGUCGAAGGCACACAAGAGCACAGACCUCUAUGCAGAGGUGUAGCCCAAGGAAUUAAGUAGUUACUUGUUUCAGGAGGUCAGAAAGCUGCAGCUCAUCCUUCUGUCCAGCCAACUCUUCCUUGACCUCUGAAUAUGUGUCAUUGAUGAUGGCCAGGAACAUGUUCUGAAGGAUAAGGCAGGGACACAGGUCCUCACCCCCAAACCCACUAACAGCAUUGAGCCCACUGACCCUAUUAAUGUCCUAGACACGUGUUGUAAAGGGGCCAAUGCUUUCAACCUCAGCUCUGCAGCCCACUAAGCCCUGCAUCUCAGGGUCCCCAGAGGCUUUCAGCACAGUGCUUUUAGGGAUGGAUCGUGCUCCCUCAUCAACCUGGUGUCCUCACUCAAUUGCUGCAGUAAACUGACCAGAAGGAUACUCCAACAUGCCACAGAACCCCGCCAUAUAAGGGCCCACGAGGCACUGAAGUCAGAGACUUUUCAAGCAGGUAGCCGAGCUGGGCGUAGGCGAAAAAAACGAUGAAGAACAUGACGGCGAAGCCCAGGAUGUCCUUGGCGCAGCGGGCCAGCGUGGAGGAGAGCUGGGUCAUGGUUUUGUUGAAGCUGAUGUACUUGAAUAUC